This 434-nucleotide ribosomal RNA is filed under the name uncultured Pseudobutyrivibrio sp. RNAcentral's name for it is "bacterial SSU rRNA". It matches the Rfam family "Bacterial small subunit ribosomal RNA", at positions 341 to 792 of the family's 1533-position model. The record is from RNAcentral. Lineage: Bacteria; Bacillati; Bacillota; Clostridia; Lachnospirales; Lachnospiraceae.
ACGGAAGGCAGCAGUGGGGAAUAUUGCACAAUGGGCGAAAGCCUGAUGCAGCGACGCCGCGUGAGCGAAGAAGUAUUUCGGUAUGUAAAGCUCUAUCAGCAGGGAAGAUAAUGACGGUACCUGACUAAGAAGCACCGGCUAAAUACGUGCCAGCAGCCGCGGUAAUACGUAUGGUGCAAGCGUUAUCCGGAUUUACUGGGUGUAAAGGGAGCGUAGGCGGAAUUUUAAGUCUGAUGUGAAAGCCCAGGGCUCAACCCUGGUACUGCAUUGGAAACUGGAGUUCUAGAGUGUCGGAGGGGUAAGUGGAAUUCCUAGUGUAGCGGUGAAAUGCGUAGAUAUUAGGAGGAACACCAGUGGCGAAGGCGGCUUACUGGACGAUUACUGACGCUGAGGCUCGAAAGCGUGGGGAGCAAACAGGAUUAGAUACCCUGGUA